This 74-nucleotide long non-coding RNA is filed under the name Struthio camelus australis. RNAcentral's name for it is "lncRNA (ENSSCUG00000011140.1)". Lineage: Eukaryota; Metazoa; Chordata; Aves; Struthioniformes; Struthionidae. The record is from RNAcentral.
UACUUAGCGUCUGACUUGGACUUCCUUCUCCCUGCUACAGCCCUCCUCAUUUUACAAACUGUUGCAAUUUCUGG